GCUAAUACCGCAUAAUAGCUUCGGCUCAAAGAGGGGGACCUUCGGGCCUCUCGCGUCAGGAUAUGCCCAGGUGGGAUUAGCUAGUUGGUGAGGUAAUGGCUCACCAAGGCGACGAUCCCUAGCUGGUCUGAGAGGAUGAUCAGCCACACUGGAACUGAGACACGGUCCAGACUCCUACGGGAGGCAGCAGUGGGGAAUAUUGCACAAUGGGCGCAAGCCUGAUGCAGCCAUGCCGCGUGUAUGAAGAAGGCCUUCGGGUUGUAAAGUACUUUCAGCAGUGAGGAAGGCGGAGUCGCUAAUAGCGGCCUCGUUUGACGUUAGCUGCAGAAGAAGCACCGGCUAACUCCGUGCCAGCAGCCGCGGUAAUACGGAGGGUGCGAGCGUUAAUCGGAAUUACUGGGCGUAAAGCGCAUGCAGGUGGUUUGUUAAGUCAGAUGUGAAAGCCCGGGGCUCAACCUCGGAAUUGCAUUUGAAACUGGCAGACUAGAGUACUGUAGAGGGGGGUAGAAUUUCAGGUGUAGCGGUGAAAUGCGUAGAGAUCUGAAGGAAUACCGGUGGCGAAGGCGGCCCCCUGGA
This 576-nucleotide ribosomal RNA is filed under the name uncultured Vibrio sp. RNAcentral's name for it is "bacterial SSU rRNA". It matches the Rfam family "Bacterial small subunit ribosomal RNA", at positions 162 to 733 of the family's 1533-position model. The record is from RNAcentral. Lineage: Bacteria; Pseudomonadati; Pseudomonadota; Gammaproteobacteria; Vibrionales; Vibrionaceae.